CCCUCAACAACCCAGAUACUAAAUUCACCAGAAACCAUGACAUGUUCCCACCAUGUACAAUCACUGUACAGUAGUAAAAUUGAAGCAGAGAUAUACCCACAGAGCCCAAAAACUUUGAAUGAAAACUGAGGAAUUAUGAAGAUUUCUUUAAAAAAGAAAAGAAAUUGAUAAAAGGUUAUCUGGAACCUACUACGCUGGUGAAAUCUAUGGCUUCCAAAUGGACCAGCAAAGCGAUCAAGU
This 240-nucleotide unclassified non-coding RNA is filed under the name Hevea brasiliensis (rubber tree). Lineage: Eukaryota; Viridiplantae; Streptophyta; Magnoliopsida; Malpighiales; Euphorbiaceae. The record is from RNAcentral.